RNAcentral lists this transfer-messenger RNA (324 nucleotides) under Rhodocyclaceae bacterium. It matches the Rfam family "Betaproteobacteria transfer-messenger RNA". Rfam says of the family: Bacterial tmRNA, also known as 10Sa RNA or SsrA, is named for its dual tRNA and mRNA-like properties. RNAcentral also lists the same sequence under 1 other name. Lineage: Bacteria; Pseudomonadati; Pseudomonadota; Betaproteobacteria; Rhodocyclales; Rhodocyclaceae. The record is from RNAcentral.
CGUCAGAGCCCUCUUGAAAUCCGCGCACCGAUCCCCCAUAUUGUCGAUAUGGUUGUAAUUCCGGCAAUCUGGAGGCGUUCUGGACAGGGGUUCGAUUCCCCUCACCUCCACCUAAGUGCAUCGGAGUGUGCUUAGGUGGGGGUGUACCGGUUUCGACAGGGCGGGCGAAGGUGAGCAGGCAACCCGAGAGGCGACGGACGUAAUCCGCGCAAAUCUGUAAACGCCAACGAUGAGCGUUUCGCACUGGCCGCUUAAGGUCGGAGCCGGGGCCGCUGAAGCCUUGUAACCCAAGACAGCCGGCGGGGACUUCGGUCCCCGUCGUCA